ACUCCUCCCACUAGCU
This 16-nucleotide transfer RNA is filed under the name Oreolalax jingdongensis (Jingdong lazy toad). RNAcentral's name for it is "partial tRNA-Leu". The record is from RNAcentral. Lineage: Eukaryota; Metazoa; Chordata; Amphibia; Anura; Megophryidae.